Cinara cedri is the source of this 676-nucleotide non-coding RNA. Lineage: Eukaryota; Metazoa; Arthropoda; Insecta; Hemiptera; Aphididae. The record is from the annotation of a GenBank genome assembly.
GUUGAAAAAGCAGAUUGAGUUAGGAAUUUCUACUUUUAAAUCGACGAAAGAUAAAAAAGGAGGUUUAAUUAAUCUAAAAAUGAAUGAAAAUACCUAUCUAAAUUCGAAAUUGUAAGUACCAUAAAUAUCACUGAUUUCAGAAUCAUUAAUUUAGUUUAAUUUAAAAAAUUUAAUUAUUCAUUAAAAACCAAUAUUACAUUUUGAUUAAAUUAAUUGAGAAUUUAUAAUUAUCAUCAAUAAAAAAUAUUCAUUUUUGAAAAUUAUUUUCUUAAGAUGUUCAUGCUAAAUCAUUAGAGAAUUGACUUCAUAAUAAAAAUAAUUAAGAAAUAAUUAUUUUUUGAAGUGUCCUGAGCUUGCCCAUCUGUUAAAAAUUAGUAUUUGUAAUCAUUUUUCUUUUUUUAAUAAUUUGUAAAAUAUUCACUUUAUUUACUUAGAGAGAUGAGCAUACUAACUAAAUCAUGACCUAAUCUUAGUAAACCAGAUAUUGUAGCGUUCCUUUGGGGUAUCCGGAAUUGGUUUAUUUAAUGGUGUCGUCAUCCAUUGUAGUCAAGAGUCUCCCAGAGUCUCCUAGUUAAAAAAGAAAAGUGAAACAAGAAGAAAAAUACUUACUUCUGCCUGAUAUAAUUUGAAUUAUCUAAUUUCAUGGAAAUUGUGAACAUUUAUUAAAAAUAUUGGA